This 405-nucleotide ribosomal RNA is filed under the name uncultured bacterium. Its description in RNAcentral is "bacterial SSU rRNA". It matches the Rfam family "Bacterial small subunit ribosomal RNA", at positions 355 to 774 of the family's 1533-position model. The record is from RNAcentral.
UGGGGGAUAUUGCACAAUGGAGGAAACUCUGAUGCAGCGACGCCGCGUGAGGGAAGAAGGUCUUCGGAUUGUAAACCUCAGUAGUCAGGGACGAAAGAAAUGACGGUACCUGAAGAGUAAGCUCCGGCUAACUACGUGCCAGCAGUCGCGGUAAUACGUAGGGAGCGAGCGUUGUCCGGAUUUACUGGGUGUAAAGGGUGCGUAGGCGGGAUAGCAAGUCAGACGUGAAAUACCGAGGCUUAACUUCGGGGCUGCGUUUGAAACUGUUAUUCUUGAGUGAAGUAGAGGCAGGCGGAAUUCCUAGUGUAGCGGUGAAAUGCGUAGAUAUUAGGAGGAACACCAGUGGCGAAGGCGGCCUGCUGGGCUUUAACUGACGCUGAGGCACGAAAGCAUGGGGAGCAAACA